RNAcentral lists this transfer RNA (74 nucleotides) under Rhodococcus phage Trina. RNAcentral describes it as "tRNA-Ala". It matches the Rfam family "tRNA". Rfam says of the family: Transfer RNA (tRNA) molecules are approximately 80 nucleotides in length. Lineage: Duplodnaviria; Heunggongvirae; Uroviricota; Caudoviricetes. The record is from RNAcentral.
GGGGUUGUAGCUCAAUUGGUAGAGCGUCUGUUUUGCAAGCAGAAGGUCGAGGGUUCGAUUCCCUUCUUCUCCAC